UACGUAGGUGGCAAGCGUUGUCCGGAUUUACUGGGCGUAAAGAGCGCGCAGGCGGUCGUUCAAGUCGCGUGUGAAAGCCCCCGGCUCAACCGGGGAGGGUCACGCGAUACUGAUCGACUCGAAGGCAGGAGAGGGAAGUGGAAUUCCCGGUGUAGUGGUGAAAUGCGUAGAUAUCGGGAGGAACACCAGUGGCGAAGGCGACUUCCUGGCCUGUUCUUGACGCUGAGGCGCGAAAGCUAGGGGAGCAAACGGG
RNAcentral lists this ribosomal RNA (253 nucleotides) under uncultured bacterium. Its description in RNAcentral is "partial 16S ribosomal RNA". It matches the Rfam family "Bacterial small subunit ribosomal RNA", at positions 524 to 776 of the family's 1533-position model. The record is from RNAcentral.